UCUCUCUUUGGGUUGACUUGUGUAAGUGUUCUUUCUACCAGUGACGCUAACUGAUUAUCUGAUAUUCCUAGGGAGUCAAAAGAUGUUCUGACAGGACAUGUAAGAAUAUACCUGUUCCCUUCAAAUCACAGUGUGUCUAGUGCAUCGAAACAAACUCAUUUCUGCUAAAUACAAUUUCUAUGAGCCUGGGGCAGGAUUUUCAGAAGCACCAGUCCCCAUUUUAAAAGUGAACCCCUGGACUGCUACUGCAGCUGCAAACAGCAGGACUUGGCAGGAGCAAUCACAACAGGCUACAGAGUCUGAACAAAAUAUAAAAUCACAAGAAGAUAACUGAAUAGAUCUCAGAGAUUUUUGAUGAACUUCAACAGUGGGGGGAGAACAAAGUUGUUUAAAAGUAGGGUGACCAUCCAUCCCGUUUUGGCCGGGACAUCCUUUUUUUAAUCCAUAGGCAAGAGCAACCAGGACAAAUGCCCACCUUUGUCAAAAACAUGGGGUACAGAGGAAUGCGUGAGGGGUGAGCAGAGAUGGGGGGGAAGGGCUCUAGUGCGCAGGAGGUCGGCAGGGUUUGAGCAACCAGCGACAGUCUCAUGGGGUGGGGGGUGGACACCUCGGGUGAGCAGCUGGAGCUAGCCCCACAGGAAUGGGGAGGUGCUCAGGCCAGACCCGUGCAGUGUCCUGUUUUCCCUUUGGGAAGUAUGGUCACCCUAUUUAAAAGGGUAUUGAAAAUAAAUGCAAAGACUAGCCCAGAGUACUGGAAUUGAGACAGAGCUGGGUUCAUUCCAGAGGGCCAUAGGAAUCAAAUCAAAACAAAACAAAACAAAAAAGAGAGGAGAUCUGGAAAGGCAUUCAGAAAGUGAAAAGUAAUAUUAGAGAGGAUCAAGAAGUAGCUGGGGGCAGGGGAACUUUAGAAAGACUGAGAGAGCAUUAAAAGAAAAAAAGGCUUCCAAUUUGGAACCAAAAUCAAUGUCUUACACCUUGAUGAUAAACUUGAAAUUUGACCUCACAGUGAACAUAGAUAAAGCCAUUCUGACUAGUAAUUACCCAAAGUUGACAAGGCAAGACUGCAGAACCAGUCGCUGUGGUAUGUGAAUUA
Dermochelys coriacea (leatherback sea turtle) is the source of this 1093-nucleotide long non-coding RNA. RefSeq lists it as uncharacterized. The transcript has 3 exons. Lineage: Eukaryota; Metazoa; Chordata; Testudines; Dermochelyidae. The record is from RefSeq and is a predicted model, not a curated record.